Molecule: ribosomal RNA, 394 nt
Filed under: uncultured bacterium
Lineage: Bacteria
Description: partial 16S ribosomal RNA
Rfam family: Bacterial small subunit ribosomal RNA
Source: RNAcentral
CCUACGGGGGGCAGCAGUGAGGAAUAUUGGUCAAUGGUCGCGAGCCUGAACCAGCCAAGUCGCGUGAAGGAUGACUGCCCUACGGGUUGUAAACUUCUUUUAUAAAGGAAUAAAGUGGGGCACGUGUGCCUUUUUGUAUGUACUUUAUGAAUAAGCAUCGGCUAACUCCGUGCCAGCAGCCGCGGUAAUACGGAGGAUCCGAGCGUUAUCCGGAUUUAUUGGGUUUAAAGGGAGCGUAGAUGGUUUGUUAAGUCAGUUGUGAAAGUUUGCGGCGCAACCGGAACAUUGCAGUUGAUACUGGCAGUCUUGAGUACAGGUGAGGUAGGCGGAAUUCGUGGUGUAGCGGUGAAAUGCAUAGAUAUCACGAAGAACUCCGAUUGCGAAGGCAGCUUAC